Molecule: transfer RNA, 76 nt
Filed under: Candidatus Shapirobacteria bacterium CG10_big_fil_rev_8_21_14_0_10_38_14
Lineage: Bacteria; Candidatus Shapironibacteriota
Description: tRNA-Gln
Rfam family: tRNA
About the family: Transfer RNA (tRNA) molecules are approximately 80 nucleotides in length. Their secondary structure includes four short double-helical elements and three loops (D, anti-codon, and T loops). Further hydrogen bonds mediate the characteristic L-shaped molecular structure. tRNAs have two regions of fundamental functional importance: the anti-codon, which is responsible for specific mRNA codon recognition, and the 3' end, to which the tRNAs corresponding amino acid is attached (by aminoacyl-tRNA synthetases). tRNAs cope with the degeneracy of the genetic code in two manners: having more than one tRNA (with a specific anti-codon) for a particular amino acid; and 'wobble' base-pairing, i.e. permitting non-standard base-pairing at the 3rd anti-codon position.
Source: RNAcentral
UGGGGAGUAGUGUAAUUGGUAACACGGUCGCCCUUGGAGCGACAGACUCUAGGUUCGAUCCCUAGCUCCCCAGCCA